ACGAACGCUGGCGGCGUGCUUCACACAUGCAAGUCGCACGGAAAGGCUCCAGCUUGCUGGAGUACUCGAGUGGCGAACGGGUGAGUAACACGUGGGUAAUCUGCCCUGCACUCUGGGAUAAGCCUGGGAAACUGGGUCUAAUACUGGAUAUGACCUUUCUCCUUAUGGGGUUUGGUGGAAAGUUUUUCGGUGUAGGAUGAGCCCGCGGCCUAUCAGCUUGUUGGUGGGGUGAUGGCCUACCAAGGCGACGACGGGUAGCCGGCCUGAGAGGGUGAUCGGCCACAUUGGGACUGAGAUACGGCCCAGACUCCUACGGGAGGCAGCAGUGGGGAAUAUUGCACAAUGGGCGGAAGCCUGAUGCAGCGACGCCGCGUGAGGGAUGACGGCCUUCGGGUUGUAAACCUCUUUCAGCAGGGACGAAGCGUAAGUGACGGUACCUGCAGAAGAAGCACCGGCUAACUAUGUG
Molecule: ribosomal RNA, 466 nt
Filed under: uncultured bacterium
Lineage: Bacteria
Description: partial 16S ribosomal RNA
Rfam family: Bacterial small subunit ribosomal RNA
Source: RNAcentral